RNAcentral lists this ribosomal RNA (250 nucleotides) under uncultured bacterium. RNAcentral's name for it is "partial 16S ribosomal RNA". It matches the Rfam family "Bacterial small subunit ribosomal RNA", at positions 524 to 773 of the family's 1533-position model. The record is from RNAcentral.
UACAGAGACCUCAAGCGUUAUCCGGAUUUAUUGGGCGUAAAGCGCGUGUAGGCGGACUUAUUAGUCAGACGUCAAAUCUCUGAGCUCAACUCGGAAACUGCGUUUGAAACGGUAAGUCUCGAGGAAGCGAGAGACCAAUGGAACAUAUGGUGUAGCAGUGAAAUGCGUUGAUAUCAUAUGGAACACCAAAGGCGAAGGCAUUUGGUUGGCGCUUUCCUGACGCUGAGACGCGAAAGCGUGGGUAGCGAAU